GCAUCGUCUCCUUACUCUUCGUACUCAGAUGAGCUUCUCCAGAAGGAGGAUAAUGUGCGUUUGAAGCGUUGUAUCUAUGCCACUCAAAGAGAUACCCUCCAUCCAAUCACCACUCAUAAUGUUGUCGAUGAUGCUUCCGAUCCAGUACUUAAUAGUUUCCGUCGUUGCAAGCUUUUCAACGAGACGAGUGAUUGAGUUUAAGUGAUAUUUCAUCCGGAAUUCUUAUCGUCGACCAAUCCGUUGUUUGGAUUGGAUUAUGAGGAUUUCGUCAGAGGUUGCCAUUUGGGUGUUUUCCCAAGUGAUUACGAACCUUGGGGAUACACUCCUUCUGAGUGUACAGUAAUGGGAAUUCCUUCCAUAUCAACCAAUUUGUCAGGCUUUUGAUGCUUCAUGGGCGAUCAUAUUGCCGACCCAAUGAGCUAUGGAAUUUACGUCGUAGAUCGUCGAUUUAUUUUUCUAGAUGAUUCUCUCAACCAACUUGCCCAGUAUAUGUUUGAUUUUACGCGACUUAAUCGGCGCCAGCAUAUCAUUCAACGCAACCAAACCGAGUGGUUAUCCGAUCUUCUUGAUUGGAGAAACCUCUCAGUGUAUUAUCGUAAAGCUCGUCAAAUGGCUUUGCAUGCCGUUUUCCCAGAAUUCAAUCUGGAUGAAGAUGAGAACGGUAAUGGAGUUGGAAGAUUGUCGUAUCCACGACCUAUUUCGGAACCACCUUCUCCCAGAUCAUCUCGUGCAACAACUCCAAUCCCAUCAGAUCAAUCGGACGAAGAUGACACAGUUGAUGAAGAACGUUAGCUUAGAGAAUUAAAUGUCGUUGCGGAAGAGAGGCGAUGAACCUGGAGGACUGCACCGAACCGUAGUGUUGAAAAGGUUAAACACUCCGAUUCGUAUUAGGAUGAUACUACUAA
This is a long non-coding RNA of Daphnia pulicaria, 905 nucleotides long. RefSeq lists it as uncharacterized. The transcript has 5 exons. Lineage: Eukaryota; Metazoa; Arthropoda; Branchiopoda; Diplostraca; Daphniidae. The record is from RefSeq and is a predicted model, not a curated record.